UGCAGGGGUUGUCGAGCCUGGCCAAAGAUGCAGGACUUAGAAUCCUGUCCAGUAGUGGUUCCAGGGUUCAAAUCCCUGCCCCUGCAU
This 87-nucleotide transfer RNA is filed under the name Methanococcus maripaludis. Its description in RNAcentral is "tRNA-Leu". It matches the Rfam family "tRNA". From Rfam's summary of the family: Transfer RNA (tRNA) molecules are approximately 80 nucleotides in length. Their secondary structure includes four short double-helical elements and three loops (D, anti-codon, and T loops). The record is from RNAcentral. Lineage: Archaea; Methanobacteriati; Methanobacteriota; Methanococci; Methanococcales; Methanococcaceae.